GUCCUAGCCGUAAACGAUGAACACUAGGUGUGGGAGGUAUCGACCCCUUCCGUGCCGCAGCUAACGCAUUAAGUGUUCCGCCUGGGGAGUACGGCCGCAAGGUUGAAACUCAAAGGAAUUGACGGGGGCCCGCACAAGCGGUGGAGCAUGUGGUUUAAUUCGACGCAACGCGAAGAACCUUACCGGGGCUUGAACUGCAGUGGACAGCUCUAGAAAUAGAGUCUCCCCGAAAGGGGCCGCUGUAGAGGUGCUGCAUGGCUGUCGU
This 265-nucleotide ribosomal RNA is filed under the name uncultured bacterium. RNAcentral's name for it is "partial 16S ribosomal RNA". It matches the Rfam family "Bacterial small subunit ribosomal RNA", at positions 793 to 1055 of the family's 1533-position model. The record is from RNAcentral.